UUGCACACGCGUCCUCAUCGUCCUCAUCCGUGUGCCUUUUCGUUGGAUUUUCUUACUGCUAUACACAUGUUCUUCAUCCCAAAACGGAGGAAAGAUGGAAAAUCAAGGCUCUUCCAUUUGCUUCCACAAAUUUCUUGAUCUCUCUCGAGCUCCGGAUCCUAGCCUCCGCAUGAAGGAAAUCGUCAAUCUUGCUGAAACCUUGGUUUCCUGAUUUCAUCAGUUUUUCGGUUCGAUCAGGAUCACUUUUUUACCCACGAAAUCUAGCAUCUUCUGCAUUGAAAAGAGAUUGAGGGUUUUGGUUUAGUCAGACGGAGGGGGAGAUAAAGAGAGAAGUGGAUUAUGUGCAUGAAUGGGGUGGUACUCGGAGAAUUUUGUCAAGGGCCAAUGGGACAAGGAGGAUUGCAUUUCAGAUUGGCAGAAAUACAAUGCCUCCCAUCUGUGUAUAAUGUCAUCAAAUUCUAGAUGAGGUGCAUCCAGACAUCAGUUUGGUAAAGCAGUUAAAGAAGGGUGCGAGGAAACUUUAUAAAAGAUUAAGGAAGGUUCUGAUGAAUUCUCAUUUAGAGUUGGUGACAACCAAUUGACUCACCACCGACUUUAGAUCAAGAUUCAAGUAUGCCUUAAAUUUAAAGAAUGCAUUAAGAUUCAGCUCUCCGAUCCGAAGGACCUUAAGAUUGAAGGCUGAAUUAUUCAACGUGCAGGCAUCGAUUUCUAGUAAAACCUAAGACCCAAAAGAGAGAGAAGUCAACCCAUUGACGAGGACAAUUUUCAAGCAAG
This 774-nucleotide small RNA is filed under the name Malus domestica (apple). RNAcentral describes it as "sRNA MD07G0135500". The record is from RNAcentral. Lineage: Eukaryota; Viridiplantae; Streptophyta; Magnoliopsida; Rosales; Rosaceae.